AGUGGCGCACGGGUGCGUAACGCGUAUGCAACCUACCUUCCACUGGGGGAUAGCCCGGAGAAAUCCGGAUUAAUACCGCAUAACACCCUUCGAUGGCAUCUGAAGAGGGUUAAAGAUUUAUCGGUGGGAGAUGGGCAUGCGUGCCAUUAGCUUGUUGGCGGGGUAACGGCCCACCAAGGCUACGAUGGCUAGGGGUUCUGAGAGGACGGUCCCCCACACUGGCACUGAGAUACGGGCCAGACUCCUACGGGAGGCAGCAGUAGGGAAUAUUGGGCAAUGGGCGGAAGCCUGACCCAGCCAUGCCGCGUGCAGGAUGAAGGCCUUCUGGGUUGUAAACUGCUUUUACCAGGGAAGAAAACACCCAUGCGUGGGGAACUGACGGUACCUGGGGAAUAAGCACCGGCUAACUCCGUGCCAGCAGCCGCGGUAAUACGGAGGGUGCAAGCGUUGUCCGGAUUUAUUGGGUUUAAAGGGUGCGUAGGCGGCCCCUUAAGUCAGUGGUGAAAGCCCGCGGCUCAACCGCGGAACUGCCAUUGAUACUGGGGGGCUUGAGUACAGACGAGGUAGGCGGAAUUGAAGAUGUAGCGGUGAAAUGCUUAGAUAUCUUCAAGAACACCGAUUGCGUAGGCAGCUUACUAGGCUGUAACUGACGCUGAGGCACGAAAGCGUGGGGAGCGAACAGGAUUAGAUACCCUGGUAGUCCACGCCGUAAACGAUGAUUACUCGAUGUCGGCGAUAGACCGUCGGCGUCUUAGCGAAAGCGUUAAGUAAUCCACCUGGGGAGUACGCCCGCAAGGGUGAAACUCAAAGGAAUU
Molecule: ribosomal RNA, 815 nt
Filed under: Nibribacter koreensis
Lineage: Bacteria; Pseudomonadati; Bacteroidota; Cytophagia; Cytophagales; Hymenobacteraceae
Description: bacterial SSU rRNA
Rfam family: Bacterial small subunit ribosomal RNA
Source: RNAcentral